CUCUGUUUCGAUGAAGAUACAGGGCGGAAGGAG
This 33-nucleotide non-coding RNA is filed under the name Geobacillus genomosp. 3. The record is from RNAcentral. Lineage: Bacteria; Bacillati; Bacillota; Bacilli; Caryophanales; Anoxybacillaceae.